RNAcentral lists this long non-coding RNA (323 nucleotides) under Bos taurus (domestic cattle). Its description in RNAcentral is "long non-coding RNA NONBTAT022496". The record is from RNAcentral. Lineage: Eukaryota; Metazoa; Chordata; Mammalia; Artiodactyla; Bovidae.
AAAUAGUUUAUUUGGAAUAAUGUGUACCAGUACUUAUUUGUACAUUUCACUGAGAGUCAGUUAAAUUUUCAGCUUCUAUAAAGUAAAUGAUUUCACAAUUUUACAUGAGUAAAUACAAGACAUUUUCAUCAUAAUGCAUGUAGUUGUUCUGACAUCCAGGUGUCAUGAAUUGGCUUUUAAAAGGUGGACGCUCUGACACAUAGAUGAUCAUGCUAGAAUCCCAUAAAAAUUCAGUAACAUUCAUAAUUCAUAUUACAUAAAUUGCUGUGCCAUUAAAUGUUAAUACAUUUUAUGCAUGUUCUUUGGAUGUGCAUCUAUUAAAA